AACGCAUAUUGCACCCCCUGGUAUUCCGGGGGGUACACCUGUUCGAGCGCCAUUUCAUUCUUCAAGUUUGACUUGGUGUUGGGGGGUCAUCCGGUGGGAUACCCCCGAAACUUUUAGGCCGUCCCCAGUAAUUUAGGGCGUCACGAAAUUAAAUCGGCGCCAAAAAUCACGGGGGGUGUGUUCAAAAUUAGUGGGAAAUGUCACUUUUUUGGAAUCAUCAACUAAUUUUUAGUGGGAAACUCAUUUAUUUUAGUGGGCGCCCCCUAAUUUUUAUUUUUGACCCCCAAAAAUAGAGGGACCCCCCUAAAUUUUAGGAAAGUGCCCGGUAAAAAUCAGUGGGAAACUUGCUUAUUUUAGCGGGUACCCCCUGUUUUUUUAUUUUGCACCCCCUAAAUUUAGAGGGUCCCCCUAAGUUUUGAGUUUGUGUUAGUGGGUAACCCCCUAAAAUAUCCUCAAAAUUAGUGGCUUACCCCCUAAUUUCUUCGGUUUUGGCCUCGGAUCAGGUGGGGAUACCCGCUGAACUUAA
Molecule: unclassified non-coding RNA, 526 nt
Filed under: uncultured fungus
Lineage: Eukaryota; Fungi
Description: sequence contains ITS2
Source: RNAcentral